Xenopus laevis (African clawed frog) is the source of this 2304-nucleotide RNA transcript. It is a transcript of the gene named RING finger protein 39-like, with no coding region annotated. The transcript has 2 exons. Lineage: Eukaryota; Metazoa; Chordata; Amphibia; Anura; Pipidae. The record is from RefSeq and is a predicted model, not a curated record.
AAAAAGUAUGUUUUCCAGAGAUUGAUUUUCCCAUUAUGUCUGUAGCUCUUUUCUGCAGUUUAUGUGAUCAUUUCAAGUAUUUUAUUAAAUGGAAGGAUUGGCGUGUACGGAAUAUGAUGUACAGUUUGUAGUCCUUUAAAUCUGCAAUGGCCAGGUAAGAGGGGAAGAAAGAAGCAGGGCAUUAAAUAUAAGUACAAAUCAGAUAUAUAAAUCUGUGGGACAGCUGAGAUGUGCACUCAGAGAAUCACUAGAUGUUGUGCGAGUAACAUUAGUACAAUAACUACUGGGCAGCUGCUGCAGCCAUAAGGUCCCUAUAGAAAUGUUCAGAAGCAGCUGGUCUGUUUGUGUAACAAGAAACUGCAUUUGAGGUGUAUGAAGUGCAGCUGAUGUGUGCGGAGAGUAGAAUGGAACAUAGAUCUUACACUAAGGGGCCCAUUUACUAAGGAUCAAAGUGAAUUUUCGAAUUCAAAAACUUCGAAUUACGAAGUAAUUUUUGGGUACUUCAACCAUCGAAUAGGCCAAAAUUCGAUUUGAAUUUAAAUAACUUCACAAAUUCGACCAUUCGAUGGUAUCUGUGGCACAGGUGAGCAUGCCUUGGAUGCCAUGUAAGAUGGGUUUAGCACUGCUAAGGGAUUCCGAUAUGCUGGGGACACUUGGUGGUAUGUGUAAUUCAAGAGAAACAAGCUGAUCUACUAUGAAUAUUAAGUAAACAGCUUGAAGUACUUUAACUUUAUUUAUCUUGUUCAAUGGUGCAAAAUUGUGCAAGAGCUAUAGUUUAGUUUGGAGUCCUUUCACCUUCACUAUUCCUGGGGUGGGGCAGUUGAGUUAUAGUUGAAUAAAGCAGUUCUCUACUUGGAAUACAACAGGAGUUAAAAUACACUAUAAACAAUCUAUAUUUGUAUUGGCAUGCAUGAUAGAUAUCUGGGCUUUCAACAUCAACUGUAUUUUUACACAUAAAAAAAAAAAAAAAGAUUUGUCUCUGUACCAUGAAAAUAAAUAAUUUACAUUUCUGGGUAGUCACAUGUGCAACUUAAUGUAAUUAGACAAAGUUCUCAGACAAAGAUAAUGCACAUUUGGCAGGCAAUUAGGGGGUUAAUCCGGGUAUCGUUUCCAAUGAAAACAAUGAAACUGACUAGAAAUCAGGUAUACAGUACAUUCCCCUGCUUACAUCACCACAUUGUUUUCAGCUGACACAUUCUUCCUUAGCCAUUGAACCUCACAUACUGGCACCCAGUACAUUUGAAUGUUGGAGUUCCCUGUGACUCCCACCAUAAGUCACAAGCUUGGCAUUUCUAUCUGACAACAGCAAGAACUUGCCAGGCAGCAUUGUUCUCCGCCCUAUGUACCUGGCGUAAUGAUGACAGAAUGAAAGGGGAGUGACAAGGCAAUUUAUAUGUACAUGUACAGCUCCACAGAUAGCACUCUGCUGCUGGCAAACUUGGAAUCAAGCUUUAGGACCUUUUAACAAUGGCCGCCAGGGGCCCUGUGAAAGAGCUGCAGGACGGUUCACUGUGUCCACUCUGUGGGUGCUACUUUGAAGAUCCAGUGACCACAGAAUGUGGCCACAGUUACUGCCGGGGUUGCCUGGUAGCAAAAGCAGGGGGCAAAGCAUGCCCAGGAAUUCAGCUGAUCUGCCCUCAGUGUGGAAGGACAAUGGGCUGGAAAGCAGUGACCACUGAUGUCCGGCUUGGAGUGACCACGCGCAUUGCCCGCAGACUUAACCUCCAAGCUCCACCACCUCGGAAACAGAAGGAGCAGGGGAGGUGAGCGGUUAAUGUGGAGAAAGGGAGAGAGCACACACAAGGACUCCACUGAAGAGAAGGGAUCCACAGACCAUCUCAAACUUGUUAACCCAUGAUCUGUCAAAGCCUUGCAGUGUUGCUCAGUUAUGGACCUCAUCUGUGGAGAACAGAGAACAGCAGACUUCUUCCACUUCAUCAUAUCAGGGGAGGGCUGACAAAUUUCACCCCGGCAUGAAAAGAUAACACCUCACCACAAAGUAUAAUAUUAGUUAAAUUUAAUGUACACUUUAACUUAUAUGUUUUGACCUGCAUUAAAGGUUUAAAGAUAUGGUUCAACAGACCUGUUUGAAAUUGGGCCGUUUGGCACCUCUCCCCUGCACCUUAUUCUUUAAUAAUAUUUAUAUCUUUCUAUAUUAUAAUGAUAUAUUUUUUUACUUGUUCUUAAAAAUUUUUGUGUUGUUUUUGUCUUGUGAAGGUGUAUAUGAAUAUCUAUAUAUAACAGUUAUUUGGUAUACUGAUGUAGAGUAUCUGUAAUCUAAGAAUAAAUACUUUCUAAUAUGUA